GGGUGGUGAAGUUGGCAUGGUAUUUGAGAUUUACGGAGUCUCUGAGGAUGGGUGGUGAAGUUGGCAUGGUAUUUGAGAUUUACGGAGAUUCUGAGGAUGGGUGGUGAAGUUGGCAUGGUAUUUGAGAUUUACGGAGGUUCUGAGAAUGGGUGGUGAAGUUGGCAUGGUAUUUGAGAUUUACGGAGGUUCUGACGAUGGGUGGUGAAGUUGGCAUGGUAUUUGAGAUUUACGGAGGUUCUGAGGGUGGGUGGUGAAGUUGGCAUGGUAUUUGAGAUUUACGGAGGUUCUGACGAUGGGUGGUGAAACAGUGACAGAGAGCGAGUGAAAAGGAAGGAGUUACAAAGUUCAAGUUCAAGUUCAAGUUCAAGUUUAUUAUCAUUUACUCAUAAACAGCAUUUAUCAGUAAUGAAAUUCUUUGUGCUCAAUGUCCGUUCAACUUAGAGAAAAAAAUAAAUGAAACACUGGAGAAUGGGGAAAAGGGGUAGGAAAAAGAGAAAAAAAUUGCAGUGC
Molecule: long non-coding RNA, 510 nt
Organism: Clupea harengus (Atlantic herring)
Lineage: Eukaryota; Metazoa; Chordata; Actinopteri; Clupeiformes; Clupeidae
Source: Ensembl